RNAcentral lists this ribosomal RNA (243 nucleotides) under uncultured bacterium. Its description in RNAcentral is "partial 16S ribosomal RNA". It matches the Rfam family "Bacterial small subunit ribosomal RNA", at positions 535 to 776 of the family's 1533-position model. The record is from RNAcentral.
CAAGCGUUGUUCGGAUUUACUGGGCGUAAAGGGCGCGUAGGCGGCCAGCACAAGUCAGUUGUGAAAUCUCCGAGCUUAACUCGGAACGGUCAACUGAUACUGUGCGGCUAGAGUGCGGAAGGGGCAACUGGAAUUCUUGGUGUAGCGGUGAAAUGCGUAGAUAUCUGGAGGAACACCGGUGGCGAAGGCGGCGUUCUGGACUGCAACUGACACUGAGGAACGAAAGCCAGGGGAGCAAACGGG